UGCCCACUUUAGGGAAAGGGGAGACUCCUCCCUAGCUUGCUCCUGCGGCCUUAUGGCUAAGGGCAAGCGAAACUCUGGGGCAUCCAAACCUCAAGCCUCUGGGCUUGGGCCUGCAUGUAGGAUGCCCACCAAUGGACUUGGGAGUAUCUGAAGUCCCAGGGUGAUAGGCCUGGGAUGGAGGAUGCUCACCGGUUGUAGUGACAUACAUCGUGUUCAGAAUGAUUGAGUUUGCCUGCUCAAUUGAUCCGAUUUUUGGAAUGACUGAAUUCUGCUCAGUCAAUAUGGUUCGGAAUCAAUUUGGCUAAUUUAACCUGGAGCAUGAAAUAUAUGAUAAAAGACCAAAAAAACCCAGUCGAGUUUGGGACACAGUGGUCAAAAUGUUAAAAGUCUGGUCAAAACUUAUUCAAGAAAGACACAGAAACAUCUAUGGUUUGUUUGGUAAAGCCAAAUGGGACUAACACGUAGUUUUGCACAUUCGUUUUUGGGGCGUGGGGCAGACCUGACUUGAGGUAACGCCUGUGACCUUGCUCUCCAAAGUAGCGUUAUAGUCAUCUGCUAAUAAUUUCAAUACUAUACAACACAUAUUGGUCAUAUGCAAAGAUCCUGUAUGUGUGUCUGCACAUGCAUGCAUGCGCACGCAACUAUUCUGCAUAUUAGCCGAAGAGGGCAAUUGCAACAGAUUUGGAUGCUGACAAGUUUUAAGCAGCUGCUUAAAGCUGCAAUAUGCAUACCUUAAAAGGUAACCUUCUUUAAAAAAUGCUUACUAUUAAAUAAUAUUGCUUUUAAAACACUUUUAAAAAUUUGCUCUUUUAUACAUCCAAAAAGCAGCAGCUAUUCACUAAGUUCCGCUACUUCACAAUGUCAGGACUGGAAUUUCCUGUUAUCAUGAUGAACAGUUUUUUAAGUGCAUUGUACUUAAUCAGAUAAAGCACUCAGAGUACCUUGCAUAUUACUAUGUGUUCUUCUUUAAUAAAAGCUGAAGAACAGUCA
This is a long non-coding RNA of Gavialis gangeticus (Gharial), 990 nucleotides long. RefSeq lists it as uncharacterized. The transcript has 2 exons. The record is from RefSeq and is a predicted model, not a curated record. Lineage: Eukaryota; Metazoa; Chordata; Crocodylia; Gavialidae.